AUUUAUGGUCAUAACAUCUUGGUAAUGCCCAGUUUUGUCUGAUCUUGGAAGCAAAGCAGGUUUGGGCUUGGUUAGUACUUUGAUGAGACACAGCUCUAAAUGCCAGUUGCCACAGUGA
RNAcentral lists this ribosomal RNA (118 nucleotides) under Periophthalmus magnuspinnatus. The record is from RNAcentral. Lineage: Eukaryota; Metazoa; Chordata; Actinopteri; Gobiiformes; Gobiidae.